Molecule: ribosomal RNA, 301 nt
Filed under: uncultured bacterium
Lineage: Bacteria
Description: partial 16S ribosomal RNA
Rfam family: Bacterial small subunit ribosomal RNA
Source: RNAcentral
CAGUCGCCACGGUAAGACAAAGGAUGCAAGCGUUAUCCGGAAUGAUUGGGCAUAAAGCGUCUGUAUGUGGCUUUUCAAGUCCGCCGUCAAAUCCCCGGGCUCAACCCUGGACAGGCAGUGGAAACUACCAAGAUGGAGUACGGUAGGGGCAGAGGGAAUUUCCGGUGGAGCGGUGAAAUGCGUUGAGAUCGGAAAGAACACCAACGGCGAAAGCACUUUGCUGGGUCGACACUGACACUGAGAGACGAAAGCUAGGGGAGCAAAUGGGAUUAGAUACCCCCGUAGUCCCUGUCUCUUAUAC